This 235-nucleotide ribosomal RNA is filed under the name uncultured bacterium. Its description in RNAcentral is "partial 16S ribosomal RNA". It matches the Rfam family "Bacterial small subunit ribosomal RNA", at positions 57 to 305 of the family's 1533-position model. The record is from RNAcentral.
GCAAGUCGUACGAGAGUUUUUAACUCAAGUGGCGGACGGGUGAGUAACGCGUAGGAAUCUACCCAGUAGUGGGGGACAACAUGGUGAAAACCAUGCUAAUACCGCAUACGCCCUAAGGGGGAAAGCGGGGGACCUUCGGGCCUCGCGCUAUUGGAUGAGCCUGCGUCGGAUUAGCUUGUUGGUGAGGUAAAAGCUCACCAAGGCGACGAUCCGUAGCUGGUCUGAGAGGAUGAUC